CUCAGGCGUUGUUGGGUAGGGGAGCGUUCUGUAAGCCUGUGAAGGUGGCCUGUGAGGGUUGCUGGAGGUAUCAGAAGUGCGAAUGCUGACAUAAGUAACGAUAAAGCGGGUGAAAAGCCCGCUCGCCGGAAGACCAAGGGUUCCUGUCCAACGUUAAUCGGGGCAGGGUGAGUCGACCCCUAAGGCGAGGCCGAAAGGCGUAGUCGAUGGGAAACGGGUUAAUAUUCCCGUACUUGGUGUUACUGCGAAGGGGGGACGGAGAAGGCUAUGUUGGCCGGGCGACGGUUGUCCCGGUUUAAGCGUGUAGGUGUGUGUUCCAGGUAAAUCCGGUUCACUUUAACACUGAGGCGUGACGACGAGGCACUACGGUGCUGAAGCAACAAAUGCCCUGCUUCCAGGAAAAGCCUCUAAGCAUCAGGUAACAUCAAAUCGUACCCCAAACCGACACAGGUGGUCAGGUAGAGAAUACCAAGGCGCUUGAGAGAACUCGGGUGAAGGAACUAGGCAAAAUGGUGCCGUAACUUCGGGAGAAGGCACGCUGACACGUAGGUGAAGUGAUUUACUCAUGGAGCUGAAGUCAGUCGAAGAUACCAGCUGGCUGCAACUGUUUAUUAAAAACACAGCACUGUGCAAACACGAAAGUGGACGUAUACGGUGUGACGCCUGCC
This 668-nucleotide ribosomal RNA is filed under the name Salmonella enterica subsp. enterica serovar Oslo. Its description in RNAcentral is "partial 23S ribosomal RNA". It matches the Rfam family "Bacterial large subunit ribosomal RNA", at positions 1213 to 1863 of the family's 2925-position model. The record is from RNAcentral. Lineage: Bacteria; Pseudomonadati; Pseudomonadota; Gammaproteobacteria; Enterobacterales; Enterobacteriaceae.